Molecule: ribosomal RNA, 1372 nt
Filed under: uncultured bacterium
Lineage: Bacteria
Description: bacterial SSU rRNA
Rfam family: Bacterial small subunit ribosomal RNA
Source: RNAcentral
GAUGAACGCUGGCGGCGUGCCUAAUACAUGCAAGUCGAGCGAACGGACGAGAAGCUUGCUUUUCUGAUGUUAGCGGCGGACGGGUGAGUAACACGUGGAUAACCUACCUAUAAGACUGGGAUAACUUCGGGAAACCGGAGCUAAUACCGGAUAAUAUUUUGAACCGCAUGGUUCAAAAGUGAAAGACGGUCUUGCUGUCACUUAUAGAUGGAUCCGCGCUGCAUUAGCUAGUUGGUAAGGUAACGGCUUACCAAGGCAACGAUGCAUAGCCGACCUGAGAGGGUGAUCGGCCACACCGGAACUGAGACACGGUCCAGACUCCUACGGGAGGCAGCAGUAGGGAAUCUUCCGCAAUGGGCGAAAGCCUGACGGAGCAACGCCGCGUGAGUGAUGAAGGUCUUCGGAUCGUAAAACUCUGUUAUUAGGGAAGAACAUAUGUGUAAGUAACUGUGCACAUCUUGACGGUACCUAAUCAGAAAGCCACGGCUAACUACGUGCCAGCAGCCGCGGUAAUACGUAGGUGGCAAGCGUUAUCGGGAAUUAUUGGGCGUAAAGCGCGCGUAGGCGGUUUUUUAAGUCUGAUGUGAAAGCCCACGGCUCAACCGUGGAGGGUCAUUGGAAACUGGAAAACUUGAGUGCAGAAGAGGAAAGUGGAAUUCCAUGUGUAGCGGUGAAAUGCGCAGAGAUGUGGAGGAACACCAGUGGCGAAGGCGACUUUCUGGUCUGUAACUGACGCUGAUGUGCGAAAGCGUGGGGAUCAAACAGGAUUAGAUACCCUGGUAGUCCACGCCGUAAACGAUGAGUGCUAAGUGUUAGGGGGUUUCCGCCCCUUAGUGCUGCAGCUAACGCAUUAAGCACUCCGCCUGGGGAGUACGACCGCAAGGUUGAAACUCAAAGGAAUUGACGGGGGCCCGCACAAGCGGUGGAGCAUGUGGUUUAAUUCGAAGCAACGCGAAGAACCUUACCAAAUCUUGACAUCCUUUGACAACUCUAGAGAUAGAGCCUUCCCCUUCGGGGGACAAAGUGACAGGUGGUGCAUGGUUGUCGUCAGCUCGUGUCGUGAGAUGUUGGGUUAAGUCCCGCAACGAGCGCAACCCUUAAGCUUAGUUGCCAUCAUUAAGUUGGGCACUCUAAGUUGACUGCCGGUGACAAACCGGAGGAAGGUGGGGAUGACGUCAAAUCAUCAUGCCCCUUAUGAUUUGGGCUACACACGUGCUACAAUGGACAAUACAAAGGGCAGCGAAACCGCGAGGUCAAGCAAAUCCCAUAAAGUUGUUCUCAGUUCGGAUUGUAGUCUGCAACUCGACUACAUGAAGCUGGAAUCGCUAGUAAUCGUAGAUCAGCAUGCUACGGUGAAUACGUUCCCGGGUCU